RNAcentral lists this ribosomal RNA (253 nucleotides) under uncultured bacterium. RNAcentral's name for it is "partial 16S ribosomal RNA". It matches the Rfam family "Bacterial small subunit ribosomal RNA", at positions 29 to 272 of the family's 1533-position model. The record is from RNAcentral.
AUGAACGCUGGCGGCGUGCCUAAUACAUGCAAGUCGAGCGAACAGACGAGGAGCUUGCUCCUCUAACGUUAGCGGCGGACGGGUGAGUAACACGUGGAUAACCUACCUAUAAGACUGGGAUAACUUCGGGAAACCGGAGCUAAUACCGGAUAAUAUAUUGAACCGCAUGGUUCAAUAGUGAAAGACGGUUUUGCUGUCACUUAUAGAUGGAUCCGCGCCGCAUUAGCUAGUUGGUAAGUACCAGCUUACCAAG